UUCAGGUGUCGCAUAUGAAGGAUGAAAAAGAGGCCCUAAUAAAUCAACUAACUUUGGUGGAAUCCUUGUGGACGGAAGAGCUAAAGAUUCUCAGGGCAUCUGCCAAGACCCUGCACAGUUUGCAAACAGCUUUUACCUGAUUUCACCAAAGUGCGUUUGGUCACCUCCUCUGAAACAGAAGUUAAUUUGAAGAGCGUCAUCGUGGCCUGGGGCGGUGGCCGCCCCCAGGACGUGCAGGAUUUCUGCAGGGGGCAGCACAGGUUCUGGGACUGUGAGGCUGUGAGUGAAGGUGGACAAGCUGUCUGGAUAGCACGUCUAAUGCUCUUCUGAAUAAAGUGCUGAACUGUGAGGAGAGAGGCGGACUGCCAGGGAGCCAGGAGCCAGCUGCGUCCGUGUGUGGUCUGUCACCACGGGGCCUGCUUCUUAUCUGACACAGCAGCUCUCAGAGUCUAGCGGUUGUGCUUUUAAGAUGCUCUGAUACCGUUGGGUUAAGGGGCAGGUUGGCGGUGGGUGGCUUUGGGUGGUGGGUGUGGGGAAGUGUGAGGUAGUCCUGGGUUCCCGCCAGGGUGGCCCAGCCGCCAGCCGUUCCCUGUGUGACUGCACUGAGGUGGGCGUUGAAGAGUCCCCUAGGGGACACAGGGCUUCCAAGAGGAGGGAAUGUCCUCUAAACAUGCUUCUGGCCUCCCAAGGCGGCGCUUGUCUAAUUAUUCACUUGGGAAGAAUGACUGGCUUAGCCAGCGGCCCUUUCUGCUUUGUUCUGGUGGCUGUCCUGGGCAGGCCUUUCAACCUGGGAAGCUGGCCCAUCCGCGGUGGGCCUGUCUGCUUGAUUCUGGGGUUCAGUGUAGGUCAGCUGAUUGCAAACCACGGUAGUGGUUUGGCCUCUGUUCUUACUCUUGAGUUUUGAUGCUGCUCAGACCCUGGGUGGGGAAAAGGGGCGCUUCCUGCACAGCUUUCAGCUGCCUGUGGCCUCGGGACUGCCUGCAUAAGUAACGCAGGGGCUGCUGGUCCUGUUCAGGCCCAUGCCGGAGACGCUGCGUAGACAGUGUUGCCCAGGGUCCUAUUUACCCUCCCAGGGUUCAUUCUUCCCAAGAACUGAAAUUCCUUUCUCACUGGAGCCCAGCAAAACCAAAUGAACGGGGCCUGCUGGCCUCAGAAGGCAGGCAGAGUUUAAAAUAAAACUUUCUCAUGAUUUCUUGAACAUCUUUCCCUGUUUGUAUAUACAGUUUGUGUUUAUUUUUCAAUAGUUGCAGUAUAUUUCUUUUUUUUAAUAUUCAGUAUAAUGCAGUGUAUUUCAUCAUACAAUGUAUGGAGAGUGGGCAGACUCUUCUGUGGAGGGCCCGGUAGUGACCAUUUGAAGCUUUCUGGACCUGUGGCCUUAGUCCCAGCGAUUCUGCAGAGCAGCUAUCAGCAGCAUGUCUACCACUUGCAAGGCUGGGCUCCCGGGAAACUUGACAGUGACAGGUGGUGGGCCGUAAGUUUCCUGACCCCUGUGCUGUGCUAGAAUUUCUUUCUCCUCUUUCCUGUGAAUGCACCUAAAUAUGUUAAUUCCUUUACACCUUUCAAAAUGGACAGCCCCUUGAACAUUAAAAACUUUGCAGACCCUA
Mandrillus leucophaeus (drill) is the source of this 1604-nucleotide long non-coding RNA. RefSeq lists it as uncharacterized. The record is from RefSeq and is a predicted model, not a curated record. The transcript has 2 exons. Lineage: Eukaryota; Metazoa; Chordata; Mammalia; Primates; Cercopithecidae.